RNAcentral lists this ribosomal RNA (305 nucleotides) under uncultured bacterium. RNAcentral describes it as "bacterial SSU rRNA". It matches the Rfam family "Bacterial small subunit ribosomal RNA", at positions 334 to 634 of the family's 1533-position model. The record is from RNAcentral.
GACCUACGGGGGGCAGCAGUAGGGAAUUUUCGUCAAUGGGCGCAAGCCUGAACGAGCAAUGCCGCGUGAACGAGGAAGGUCUUCGGAUCGUAAAGUUCUGUUGAAGGGGAAAAAGAGCGGAGAGAGGAAAUGCUUUCUGAUUGAUAUUACCCUUCGAGGAAGUCACGGCUAACUACGUGCCAGCAGCCGCGGUAAUACGUAGGUGGCGAGCGUUAUCCGGAAUGAUUGGGCGUAAAGGGUGCGUAGGCGGCCUGCUAAGUCUGGAGUGAAAGGUACCGGCUAAACCGGUACAGGCUCUGGAAACU